CCGAAUUUGGGGACCUGGAUACCAGCAUCCUUGAGAAGGGUGUAACUGAUAUGUUCGUGAACAUUUAAAUUUCGCUUCUGUUGCUGCUGUGGCUGCCAACUUGCAGAGCCCAAAAUCUGUAAUUAUGUAAUUCUUUGGGCUGACACUAAAAAUACGGAUGUAGCCAAAAUGGUCAAGGUCAAAAACUUCCAUCGCAAUUUUCGGGCUAAAGUCAAAGGGCUCACCUUUGGUCCGUUUUUCAGGAGAACGCUUUCGGCCAAAAGGACGCUCCGCAACAUUGUAGCCAUUUCCAAUUAAUCACAAGAACUAGUUGAAGGUUGUUGAAACUGGGGCGGACUUUGCAAUUGACAAAUAUCUGGUGGAUUUUCGCUCGCUGGUUUGGUACUUGUCAUGGAAUGUCACUUGUCAAACAAAAAAUUUAAAUUUUUAUUCCAAAUAAAGCAAAAUUUGGGCCUAUUUAUUAACUAAUUGCUUGGAAUACAAGAAUAAUAUUUGAGGGUUCACACUCGACUGCGGUUCAUGUAGCGAUACGCAAAUUUUUAUUGCAUUUACACGUCGUUGCUCGAUUGUUCAAAGAUCAAAAAUGUACUCUCUGUGACCUUUGAUCAAGGAUCUGUUUUUUUACGUUCAACAUUUUUGGAUAAGUUUCAAUCACAAUUUCAAUUCAAACACUUUGAAUGUUGACUAACUAGACUCCCUCUGUUGUUGCUCGAAACUGGAUAAGGCGCGAAGUAUUUAUCUUUAAGUACUUAAGUGCAGACUACUUAAAGACCAUGGAGGAACUAGAACAUUUUGUAGAAAUGAUUUAUUAUGUGUUGAACAUAAAGAUAUUAUCUGCUAUGGACGUCCCUUUGCUUAAUUUACUCAUAAUUACUCAUAAUUAAGCUCAUCAUAAACGGUGACUUUAAAAUACAUCAUUUUAAUUCGAAUAGAGCAAACGAUAUAAUGUUCAAAAAACUAAUCCAGUCUUUUGGGUUUAAUGCUCAUAUCAAAGAAAAUACAAAAAGUAACAAUUGCCUCGAGAACAUUAUAACAAAUUUUAAUAAUACACUUUUUUUUAAGUUAUAGAUCCGACCCUAAUGUGACCAAAUAAAAUGUGAAUUUUAAUGUGUUUGUAAUUGUUAAUUUUAAUUUUGUCUUGAAGAAGCAUUUAAUAAAGCCGGCGAAACGUCGACGUAAUAA
Long non-coding RNA from Tribolium castaneum (red flour beetle), 1182 nucleotides. RefSeq lists it as uncharacterized. Lineage: Eukaryota; Metazoa; Arthropoda; Insecta; Coleoptera; Tenebrionidae. The transcript has 3 exons. The record is from RefSeq and is a predicted model, not a curated record.